UGCCCUAGUAACGGCGAGUGAAGCGGCAACAGCUCAAAUUUGAAAUCUGGCACCCUUCUGGGAGUCCGAGUUGUAAUUUGAAGAGGAUGCUUUUGGCAAGGUGCCUUCCGAGUUCCCUGGAACGGGACGCCACAGAGGGUGAGAGCCCCGUAUGGUCGGACGCCGAGCCUCUGUAAAGCUCCUUCGACGAGUCGAGUAGUUUGGGAAUGCUGCUCAAAAUGGGAGGUAAACCCCUUCUAAAGCUAAAUACUGGCCAGAGACCGAUAGCGCACAAGUAGAGUGAUCGAAAGAUGAAAAGCACUUUGAAAAGAGAGUUAAACAGCACGUGAAAUUGUUGAAAGGGAAGCGCUUGCGACCAGACUUGUGCCCGCCGAGUCGGCCGCCUCUCGUAGGCUGGCAAAUUUUGGCGGGCCCAGGCCAGCAUCAGUUCGCUGUAGGGGGAGAAAGGCGGCGGGAAUGUGGCUCUUCGGAGUGUUAUAGCCCACCGCAUAAUACCCCUCGGCGGACUGAGGACCGCGCAUCUGCAAGGAUGCUGGCGUAAUGGUUGUCAGCGACCCGUCUUGAAACACGGACCAAGGAGUCGUCCUAAUAUGCGAGUGUUCGGGUGUAAAACCCCUGCGCGAAAUGAAAGUGAACGGAGGUGAGAGCUUCGGCGCAUCAUCGACCGAUCCUGAUGUUCUCGGAUGGAUUUGAGUAGGAGCAUAUUGGGCCGGACCCGAAAGAAGGUGAACUAUGCCUGUAUAGGGUAAAGCCAGAGGAAACUCUGGUGGAGGCUCGCAGCGGUUCUGACGUGCAAAUCGAUCGUCAAAUAUGGGCAUGGGGGCGAAAGACUAAUC
Molecule: ribosomal RNA, 836 nt
Filed under: Microascus sp. IHEM 28066
Lineage: Eukaryota; Fungi; Ascomycota; Sordariomycetes; Microascales; Microascaceae
Description: partial 28S ribosomal RNA
Rfam family: Eukaryotic large subunit ribosomal RNA
Source: RNAcentral